UCCCUGGUGGCUCAGACGGUAAAGCAUCUGCCUGCAAUGCAGGAGAUCUGGGUUCGAUUCCUGGGUCGGGAA
RNAcentral lists this transfer RNA (72 nucleotides) under Bos taurus (domestic cattle). It matches the Rfam family "tRNA". Rfam says of the family: Transfer RNA (tRNA) molecules are approximately 80 nucleotides in length. RNAcentral also lists the same sequence under 2 other names. Lineage: Eukaryota; Metazoa; Chordata; Mammalia; Artiodactyla; Bovidae. The record is from Rfam by way of RNAcentral.